RNAcentral lists this ribosomal RNA (526 nucleotides) under uncultured bacterium. RNAcentral describes it as "bacterial SSU rRNA". It matches the Rfam family "Bacterial small subunit ribosomal RNA", at positions 984 to 1509 of the family's 1533-position model. The record is from RNAcentral.
ACAUCCAGAGAAUUUAGCAGAGAUGCUUUAGUGCCUUCGGGAACUCUGAGACAGGUGCUGCAUGGCUGUCGUCAGCUCGUGUUGUGAAAUGUUGGGUUAAGUCCCGCAACGAGCGCAACCCUUAUCCUUUGUUGCCAGCGCGUAAUGGUGGGAACUCAAAGGAGACUGCCGGUGAUAAACCGGAGGAAGGUGGGGAUGACGUCAAGUCAUCAUGGCCCUUACGAGUAGGGCUACACACGUGCUACAAUGGCGCAUACAAAGAGAAGCGACCUCGCGAGAGCAAGCGGACCUCAUAAAGUGCGUCGUAGUCCGGAUUGGAGUCUGCAACUCGACUCCAUGAAGUCGGAAUCGCUAGUAAUCGUAAAUCAGAAUGUUACGGUGAAUACGUUCCCGGGCCUUGUACACACCGCCCGUCACACCAUGGGAGUGGGUUGCAAAAGAAGUAGAUAGCUUAACCUUCGGGAGGGCGUUUACCACUUUGUGAUUCAUGACUGGGGUGAAGUCGUAACAAGGUAAGCGUAGUGCU